This 5051-nucleotide long non-coding RNA is filed under the name Trifolium pratense (red clover). Its description in RNAcentral is "long non-coding RNA (TPRA_LNC006534)". Lineage: Eukaryota; Viridiplantae; Streptophyta; Magnoliopsida; Fabales; Fabaceae. The record is from RNAcentral.
UUUUACCGAUUUCCAUGUGAUGUUGGCAUUCACACAAUGCUUUUUCUACCAUACUUAGAAAGCAUAUAUACAUAUUCUGUCAAACAGGUCAAGCUUUCAAGGGAACUGCCUCCAGAUCAAUGAUCUAAACCAGCGGCCUUCCAUACAAUGCGGCGGUGCUUCACCUGCCAAGAGUCAGCCAGUAAGGGACAACCAAUUCCACCAAAUAGUUGAUCAUGUACNNNNNNNNNNNNNNNNNNNNNNNNNNNNNNNNNNNNNNNNNNNNNNGCUGCUCUCGCUGCUCUCCAGAGAUGCAACAACAAAUCAUCCAUCAUUAUUCCUUGGAAAAAAUCUGCUAGCCUUUCACACUACAGUAUAUAUAGGUUCAGUUUCUAUGUUUUCUACUUUCUAUUCAUGUCGAAUAGUUUGAAUAUCUUUUGAACAUGAUAAUUGAAUUUCAGACCCGGAUAUGUUAAAGGACGUGAGAAGGUAUAGCUGACAAGAGCUUGAAGAGGCCUGCGAAGACUUCAGCAACGUCAUUGGGUCCUCACCGGACAGUGUGGUCUACAAGGGAACCAUGAAAGGUGGACCUGAGAUUGCUGUAAUUUCCCUCUUCAUCAAGGAGGAACAUUGGACAGGAUAUCUGGAACUCUUCUUUCAGAGAGAGGUAAAUGGAAAUAUUUCAAUGCUUACAGUGCAAUAUAGUUGUCAAUGGUAAAUGGAAAUUUACUAUAUAUUAAUUUAUGCUAUUAUUAUUGCCAUUCAGGUGGCAGAAUUGGCUAGGUUAAAUCAUGAGAAUACUGGAAAACUGCUUGGAUAUUGUAAAGAGAGCAAUAUGUUUUUAAGAAUGUUGGUUUUCGACUAUGCUUCCAAUGGGACACUUCACGAGCACCUACAUUGUUUACUCAACACUGAGCUUAAAAUCCUAUUAUAUAUUAAAAGACUACUGAAUACGCUGAAAAUCAUAAUGCCGGAUCCAUUUAAAGAAUGUUCUAGUUCAGUGUUCACUCAGUUCGAUUACAUAAUUUCUGAAGCUGUAAUGACUCCGGUUCCGAAAGCUACAACCUUAACACUCCAGGUUUGUUUUUCAAAUAACUUAUAAAGAGGGAUUUAUUGUGGUGCAUGUUGGGACCAGAACAGAGAAACCAGCUGGGACUGAAAUGAACUGGUCUGCAAUUUGGCGGAUUAAUGCUCCUCCAAAAAUGCGUCACAAAAUUUGGCGAAUUUGUAAGGGACGUUUGCUGACACGUGUUCGGUUAAUACAACGGCGAGUGGAAUGUGAUAUCAUCUGUCCCUACUGCGAUGAGGAAUCAGAAGAGGAUAUGCAUGUGUUGUGUUGUUCAACUGUCAGUAUAUUCGUGAUAGCUGGAAAGCGGUGGUGCAGCAGCGUCUGCAGAGGCGUGGUUCAGUUAUUGAACUGUUAUCGGAGGUCUGUAGCGACGAGGAUGUUAAUGUGGCUGGGCGGGUUGCAGUGCAUCUAUGGUGCCUUUGGCAAAAUCAUAAUGACAAGGUGUGAAAUGAUCAUGCUCUUAAUGCGGUUCAGGUUGGACAACGAUCGUUCUCUAUGUGGCAAGCUUGGUUUGAAGCCCGACAGAUGCAGCAGAGCAUCAGUUCACCUGUGAACAGAAGCACUGUGAGAUGGGAGAAACCGUUGGAAGGGUUGAUCAAAUGCAAUGUCGACACCGGUUUCUCUCAACAANNNNUGUUGCUUUCGUGAUAAUAAUAAUAAUGGUUGUUUUAUUCUGGCUCAAACCUCUUGGCAGCAAUCUACACAGGUGUAGCUCUCCUUGAAUCCAUAAAAUUGGCAGUGCAGCGAGGUUAUGACCGAGUCGUGUUUGAAAGUGAUUCUCAAACCUUGGUGAACUCUAUCUAUGCGAGACAUUGAGAUUUUUGAGUUUAGUAUGAUUAUUCAUAAAAUUAAGUAGUUGUUAGUUGUUUUUCUAAACUUUGAAGUAAGUUUAUAAGAAGACAGGCGAAUUCGGUUGCUCACACCCUUGCAAGGGCGCCCAAUUCUUGGGCUAGUCACCGCUUCUUUGAGUUUAUUCCUUCUUGUAUUGAACUUGUGUUGUUUAAUGAAAUGAGUUAAAUGUGUUUUGAAAAAAUAAAAAAAAUAAAAAACAGAAUCAUAAAUUCAUAAUGCAAUAGAUACUGUUAUGACCCUGAGGUCACUCUAGUAUGUGAAUUUUUUUUUGAUUCAAAGGUAUAAUUUAAUCUUUAAUUUAUCUAAUUUCGUAAAAUUAACUAAUGGGUGGUUCAAAUUCUCUUAUAGUUACGGUUUUCGACCAUCUUAUUUAUAAGCAAUUAUUUACUUCCAAAACAAUCCAGUCAACAAGACAUUAUAUUAAAGUAGCAGUAUAGAAACAAUUCGAUCGAGAAUAAAAUCAAGAAACAGACUUAACCAAAAAGAAAUAAUCAAGAAACAUAAAAAAAAAAAUAAAAAAUACAGCAAUAUAGACCCAUGAUAAUAAGAAUGGCCAAAACAAGGUAUUACAUUAAAGUUGUAGUAUCACAAUUAAAACCUAAUUCAAGAUCGAAGUGUGGAAAUUAACUUCUUUGCAUCAUAGGCCGAACCUAAAGUAGCACUAUAGAAACAAUUCGAUCAAGAAUAAAAUCAAGAAACAGACUUAACCAAAAAGAAAUAAUCAAGAAACAUAAAAAAAAAAUUAAAAAAUACAGCAAUAUAGACCCAUGAUAAUAAGAAUGGUCAAAACAAGGUAUUACAUUAAAGUUGUAGUAUCACAAUUAAAACCUAAUUCAAGAUUGAAGUGUGGAAAUUAACUUCUUUGCAUCAUAGGCCGAACCUAAAUUAAGUCUGAACUUUUCCAAAGAAUUCUUAAAUUCCUCAAGAGAUUGUAAAUCCAUAUCAUCAAUAGGAUUAUUCCACCAACAAGAGNNNNNNNNNNNNNNNNNNNNNNNNNNNNNNNNNNNNNNNNNNNNNNNNNNNNUUUCUCAAGUUUAUCUCCAAUUGCCUCAUAGUCAAGCCUUAGGGUUUCAACAAUCUUCUCUUGCUUCUUUUUCUCACUAUCUUGAAUGGUGUCUUUUCCGGUCAAAAAUUGUUGAAUCACCGCAUCGCAAUUAGGAUAGCCACAUGUAUAGAGCUCGUUGUUGGAUGAUGUGACAAUGAGUGCAGUUUUUGCGUUGCAUAGAACAGAGAGCUCUGUUGCUUUGUUGAAAAGUGUAAGUGUAGAAUUUGAGAACGUCAUUUGAGACUUGUGUGAUUUUUUCGCUUUCUUGAUUUCACCAAAUUUUCUCUUCCGAGUGUUGAGUUUUGUUGCAUCGUUAUUUCCAUCGAAAGCCAUUAAACUUUAUCUCUUGAGCAAACAAAGAAAAAACAAUAAAAACUUCAAGUUAAGUGUAUUGGUAAUGCUAGUUUCUCAAUGUUGUGUUAUGACAUACAAUAUUCCUUUUAAUAAAUGCAAAAAGAUUCUAUCUAAAAUAAAAUCUUUUAUAAAAUCUUAUUAUUAAUAAAUGCAAAAGGAUUUUAUUUAAAAUCAAAUCUCUUAAAUCAUAAUUUGCUUCAAAAAUAAUAAAUAUAAUUUUUUUUUAUAAAAUCCUAAUAAAUAUAAAAUCUUUUAUAAUAUCAAUCGACGACAACUACGACGAGCUGAACCCUAAAUUGGUAACGCAAAUUUCAUUCUCCAAUUUCAUUCUCCAACGGUUGUGAUGGUAAAGCAAAUUUCAUUCUCCAAUUUUCCAAAUAACCAAUCAGAUUCAUAGCUGAUAAUUCACGCAACUUAUGACAUGUUUACAUCUUAUUGCAAUUAGCUCUUUAUAGAAAAUAGCUUAUAAUUUUUAUAUGAAAAUAGUUAGACCUUGUUUGUUCUUUUGCUAUAGAAAUAGUGUGUUUGGAUUAACUUAUUUGAGUUUAUCUAUUGGCAUAAUCACUCGUGACAUUGUUUGAUAGAGCUUAUGAACAUCUUCAUAGACUGUUUUCAGCUUAUUUCUAUAAUUUAUCGAGGAUAGCUUAUGAAAACAGUUUAUAGAUUAUGCAAAAAUAGUUUCAAUUUAUUUUAUAUUUUUUUAUAGUAAUAGAAAUAGCUUAUACAUAGAGUUUAUAUCAUGAUAACAGCUUACGCUAUAAGCUGCAAAUUACCUAGAAAGAAAUCCGGCUAGAGUUAUUUCUCCGUUCAAUUUUAUUGCCGAAUAUUCUCGAUUUUGACAGUGUGUUGUUUUAUCUGAUACUAGCAGUUUUUUGUAUUGUUGUGCAUGUUAGGAUAUGUUUCUUACUUGACACAUUUAGCUUGAUUAAAAAAAGGACUUAUUGCUACUAGGAAGAAAUUGCUUAUAAACUGGUUAUUAUAUACUUGUCAGGAAAUAAAUUGGUUAUGUUGUGAGAAAAAUGUAUGUAGUAAGAUGUUCUAAUAGCUCAAAGGUUGGUCUUAGAAGUACUAUAUGAAUUGUUGACCAAUGAAUUGUUCUUGAACUUGCUUGUUGUACUUACAUUUAGCUUCUUCUUUGCUCCCCUUUUUCAGGUUUAUGCAAAGUCAAGGUGAAUGAUAUCAUUGCUGCUUUUUAUACAAAAAGGUGAAGUGUUAAAUGGAUCUGGCAUUAUGAUUUUCAGCGUAUUCAGUAGUCUUUUAAUAUACAAUAGGAUUUUAAGCUCAGUAUUCAGUAUAAAAUGUCAAGUUAUUACUCUAAUCGAAGUUUGGAUUCUGUUAAUCUAUCUCAUUGUUUUCAUAAUUUCUCCAGGUAUGCAUCAACCAAAAAUGCAACUGGCUUCUGUCGAUCGCCUCAGUUAAAAAUAGCAGACUUUUCAUAUAAUUUUUUAGUUGGUAGUAUAACAAAAUGCUUGGAGUUUUUUCCAAGGCGAUUUUACCGAUUUCCAUGUGACGUUGGCAUUCACACAAUGCUUUUUCUACCAUACAUAGAAAGCGUAUAUACAUAUUCUGUCAAACAGGUCAAGCUUUCAAGGGAACUGCCUCCAGAGCAAUGAUCUAAACCAGCGGCCUUCCAUACAAUGCGGCGGUGCUUCACCUGCCAAGAGUCAGCCAGUAAGGGACAACCAAUUCCACCAAAUAGUUGAUCAUGUACGCAAGCGUCACAGAUCAUCGAAACCUACUUAGCUUUUGGCU